UACGGAGGGUGCAAGCGUUAUCCGGAUUCACUGGGUUUAAAGGGUGCGUAGGCGGAUAGGUAAGUCCGUGGUGAAAUCCUGCAGCUUAACUGCAGAACUGCCAUGGAUACUAUUUAUCUUGAAUAUCGUGGAGGUUAGCGGAAUAUGUCAUGUAGCGGUGAAAUGCUUAGAUAUGACAUAGAACACCCAUUGCGAAGGCAGCUAACUACGCGAUAAUUGGCGCUGAUGCACGAAAGCGUGGGGAUCAAACAGG
Molecule: ribosomal RNA, 253 nt
Filed under: uncultured bacterium
Lineage: Bacteria
Description: partial 16S ribosomal RNA
Rfam family: Bacterial small subunit ribosomal RNA
Source: RNAcentral